GGGGUGCACUCAGAGCAGGGGACCUGAGGAAAUGACUCCUCUGUUUACAACACACCCAACAGGAAUCUGGGUUCAUUGUGACGAGGGGCACAAAACUUGAGGCCUUUCUAUGAACACAUACCCUACACGU
RNAcentral lists this small nucleolar RNA (130 nucleotides) under Camelus bactrianus (Bactrian camel). Its description in RNAcentral is "Small nucleolar RNA SNORA11". It matches the Rfam family "Small nucleolar RNA SNORA11". From Rfam's summary of the family: U107 (SNORA11) is a member of the H/ACA class of snoRNAs that guide the sites of modification of uridines to pseudouridines. RNAcentral also lists the same sequence under 2 other names. Lineage: Eukaryota; Metazoa; Chordata; Mammalia; Artiodactyla; Camelidae. The record is from Rfam by way of RNAcentral.